UGCAUUCACUACUGUAAGUCACUCUGGAUAAGAGCUUCUGCUAAAUGACUAAAA
Salmo salar (Atlantic salmon) is the source of this 54-nucleotide non-coding RNA. NCBI's taxonomy places the organism in Eukaryota, Metazoa, Chordata, Actinopteri, Salmoniformes, Salmonidae. The record is from Rfam.